CAACGAUUAGAUGACAGCCCUGAUUUGCAAAAAGAGGAACUUGGAGCCAUAGCUAAGUGUACAUGCUCAUAUCAGGUUUGGCGUGCCUUGAUCCACUGCAUUUAGAAUAAAUAAGUGACCGUGGUGCAAAUGCCAUAUAAGGAGCUCCACAUAUAGGAUAAUGGCCUUCGCGUUUAGAAUAAGAAGUGACCAUGGUGCAACUAUUUUAUAAGAAAUGCACAGCCAACAUCAUGUUUGCUUAGUUUAGAUUCCAUCAAUUCGCUCAGUUAGAGGCAGCGCAUUCUUUCUCGAAUCUACCAGAUUGCCCAGUCUUUGUCCGCAAACG
RNAcentral lists this long non-coding RNA (325 nucleotides) under Elaeis guineensis (African oil palm). Its description in RNAcentral is "long non-coding RNA (EGUI_LNC041402)". The record is from RNAcentral. Lineage: Eukaryota; Viridiplantae; Streptophyta; Magnoliopsida; Arecales; Arecaceae.